Molecule: long non-coding RNA, 1032 nt
Organism: Numida meleagris (helmeted guineafowl)
Lineage: Eukaryota; Metazoa; Chordata; Aves; Galliformes; Numididae
Source: Ensembl
AUGGAGAUGAUAAGGGACUCACUGCUGUGGAAAGGGUCCAUGUUCUCACAAGAGGAUCACAGCCAGUGCCUCCAUCAGAAUCCCCUUGUGUACAACCUAUUUGCUGAAAAGACAAAGACCUUGAAUAACUUCCUCAUGGCCAACAAGUCUAAGGAAAACGUAGAUGACUCAGAAUGCUGUAAGGACAACUACAAAAACUACAUACAGCAAGCACUGAGAAACAAUGGCUGCUUCUCCUGGGGAGUGGAUCAAGUCAUCAGAUCUACAGAAAAAGAGGACACUGUACUCCCACAAACUGAGAAUUUGGCUGCUGAAUGGAUGGACAGAGCUGAAGCUUGGGAUAGAGCUUCCCUCCUACAAGGAAAGCCUCCCCAGCAGCUCACUCCUGGGAUGCCCACACCUGCUCCAAACCAAGGCUGGCAGAAGAUCUCAUGGCUGGAGCUUUUGGGAACGAGUGAAUCAGAGAUCUUGAUUUUCCCCUCAUUUCAGACAUUUCAGCCUGUGCUGGUCACCAUGCCACAGUCUCAGCAACCUCCUGAAUGCAUGGACAAUUAUUAAGUGCAUGGGGCAGACUGUUCUUCAAGAAAUGACCUGAAUGUCAGGUAUUUUGAACUGAAAAUGCUUCUAGUAUGCUGGUCUGGUAAUGUAGAUAGAUGUGAACUAGGAAAGGCAAUUUGUCUGCAGUAAAAUAUGAGAUCUUACUUGUAAAUGACCAUCAGUUACACAAGUGCAACUUCAUGACCUCCUCUGAACCUGCUGUUGAUGUGAUCCAGCAAAUGCUACUCCAAUUGUAUAAAAAAGCAAGAAGUUUUAAGUGCUGUUGCAGAGACAAAGCAUCUAUUUGGUUAUUACAGUAUAGCUACCACUGCAUUCAUGCUCCAGCUCAGCUCUACAGUGUCUUGAAGCUGAAUCCGUGAUGAUUAUGAAAGUAAGUGACCUCAGAUGAAAACAUAUUUUUAACACACUCCUCCUUCAAAAUCAGAAAAUUCUUGCACAAUUUUGUGAUCCAAAUAAACUAUCAUCUUACUGCCA